CAUGGUGGUUGGUUGUGCGGACUGCGCUGGGUUGGCUGGGGCAUGUUCGCGUGGACCCUUGGCUGAUCGAUGCACAUCGUGUGCGCGUCAUGCGUGCCUCACCUCCGUCUGCGGUUGGAGAUGGGAGAUGGACUGGCAAAAUAUCUCGCGAGCCCACCUCCCGCGUCUCCAUCUCCCUAGCCGCCUCCAUGCUCAUGCAUCCUCCCGCGUCAAUGGCGCCCAAACCUCCUCAUCUCGGAUCCCGUGGGACCGAGGUGCGGGCAUGGAGGCGAGCAUCCCUGACAGCCGCGGCGACCUACAGACAAAGGGUGACGGCGGCGGCGGCGCUCGAUUAGAUCUGCGGGAGAGAGAGAGAGAGGAUGAGAGGGAGAGAUAAGCAAGAAGAUGAGAGGGAGAGAGAGGAAAGGGGAGAGGAAGGGCUUCUACGUCACCGCUCUCUGGAUGCACGCCAUCCACCCGCGCACGCUCGCCACCAAACUCGCCGGCUUCGCCAGGUUCGGCUGCCUCAAGGACCUCCCCGAGAUCCUCUAUCGUUUCCUCCACGACCCCCGCGAUGAGCGCAAGGACCAGGACGACAUCGCCGCGGCGGCCCCGGGGGCAAGAGCGGGAAGCGGCAAGCGGCGGCUGAGGCCGCCAAGGCCCGGCGCGAGAAGGAGGCGGAGCACGCGCAGGCCGUGCUCGCACGCUACGACUCUGACGAGGCCUUACGCAAUCUCUACGAUGGCGUCGCCGACCUCUUCGUCUGGCUGCUCAAGUCGGGCCUGGAGCACCUGCGCGCGGGCGACACGGCCAAGAUCGUGUUCGCCGCCAAGUGCGCUCGUCGUAUGCAUGGGUCUCCAUUGCUCCAUGGGUGCCGCUGGCUGAGUUUGAUUCACCUUAUUGUCGCCUGCCUCGAGCCGUGAUUCCUUCUAAAUAACACUAGUGCUAGGCAGUGGUAGGAAUCCAGAGUAAAAGAAACAGUAAACCAAAUAUUCCCGGUGCUUGUUCCUGAUUGCAUGUGAACUUGGAGGAAAUGGGAGCAAGGAGAGACUUGGAUGAACAAAUUAUCUGUCUAAUACUUCAUUCCAACAUUCUACUACUGAAUAGAUUAAUCUGUGAUGUGACAAAGUUAUGCUCAAGCACAUCCGCGUCCGCAACCGGCUCCGCCGCGAGGUGCAGGUGCCGCUCCGCAAGGUGCUCGAGCUCCCCGAGGUCUACAUGAGCGCCCACACGUUGGACGAGCUGCCCUACGCGCGCUCGUGGCGUUCACGGCCAUGCGCCAGUACAAGGAAGCGUCCUGGCUGUGCUUCUUUCUUAUGGUAAUGCACUGCUCCUUAGCUUCUUUAUUUGCAUUUCUUAUGUGUUUUGCGUAUGCUGCUGCUUCUGCAAGUGAUGGUAUGUGUUUUCUUUUGCUUGGUUUAAUUUUGGUGUGUGUGUUUUCUGGCGCUAGGCCUACUUUUGUCUGUGGUUUAGGUUUCUGCAUAUACCAUGGGCUGUGCGCUUGUAUGCUGAUGAUGAUGUUGGUUAUUGUCUAUUCUUUCUGCUUAAUCAGCUUACAAUCAUAUUCGUGUAGUGUAAAUAAAAAUACAUUGGCUGGUUGUGUCUCUUAGUUUGGCAGAAAGUGCAUCAUGUCAAAUUAAUCGGUGUCCAUCUCCCUCAAUUUCUGCAUAUUUAUAUUUGGGAAGUGAACCAGGCUACUCAUCGAUUAAUAAAAGCUUUAUAGUUCUGUUCUCCUUCCAUUCGUUUCUUUAGUAUUAUUCAUUUAUUCUCUUAGAUUAAAGGGUUAUUAUGAUGAUGUCCUGUUGUUCUGUAUGUAUUGGAUGGAGGAUGCGUCGUUGAACGACCUCUUCCCUUGUUGCAAUUUCCCAUGUCCAUGGACAUUGUCAUAAUGGUCACCUUACCACAGUGUAUUAUUUUUGGAUCUCAUAUUCCUCAAGGCGCUCCAUCCUCUGAUUCGAUGUCGGCCGAUCUGAGAAAUAAUAGGAGGAAUAAUCCAGCAGAAGAAUUUGGUGAAGAAGAACAAGAAAAGAAUACCUUUAUCCUGAUAGGCAUGGAAACACCAGUUCACAUUGAGUGCAUCAUCGCUAAUCAGCUACUAUGUAUGGUCAGCGGACAUGCUUGCUUAUUCCUGUAACAUAUCAUUACUCAAUCUUCUUAGCCUUUCCAACUUUUAAGAUUUGAUCAAUUGUUUAGAAGUUUGUACAGAUCUAGAAGUAUUUGGUUUUGUUGGUCAAAUCCAUUGCCUGUCUAUCCUUAUUUAUUUUAUUGUUCGAACAAGAUAUCAGAUCACCUACAUUCAUUAUUCUUGAUUACAGUCUCAUACUAAA
RNA transcript from Triticum dicoccoides, 2306 nucleotides. RefSeq lists it as uncharacterized. NCBI's taxonomy places the organism in Eukaryota, Viridiplantae, Streptophyta, Magnoliopsida, Poales, Poaceae. The transcript has 5 exons. The record is from RefSeq and is a predicted model, not a curated record.